RNAcentral lists this ribosomal RNA (490 nucleotides) under uncultured bacterium. Its description in RNAcentral is "partial 16S ribosomal RNA". It matches the Rfam family "Bacterial small subunit ribosomal RNA", at positions 30 to 507 of the family's 1533-position model. The record is from RNAcentral.
AUUGAACGCUGGCGGCAGGCCUAACACAUGCAAGUCGAACGGUAACAGAAAGCAGCUUGCUGCUUUGCUGACGAGUGGCGGACGGGUGAGUAAUGUCUGGGAAACUGCCUGAUGGAGGGGGAUAACUACUGGAAACGGUAGCUAAUACCGCAUAACGUCGCAAGACCAAAGAGGGGGACCUUCGGGCCUCUUGCCAUCGGAUGUGCCCAGAUGGGAUUAGCUAGUAGGUGGGGUAACGGCUCACCUAGGCGACGAUCCCUAGCUGGUCUGAGAGGAUGGCCAGCCACACUGGAACUGAGACACGGUCCAGACUCCUACGGGAGGCAGCAGUGGGGAAUAUUGCACAAUGGGCGCAAGCCUGAUGCAGCCAUGCCGCGUGUAUGAAGAAGGCCUUCGGGUUGUAAAGUACUUUCAGCGGGGAGGAAGGGAGUAAAGUUAAUACCUUUGCUCAUUGACGCUACCCGCAGAAGAAGCACCGGCUAACUCCGUG